Molecule: long non-coding RNA, 1121 nt
Filed under: Manihot esculenta (cassava)
Lineage: Eukaryota; Viridiplantae; Streptophyta; Magnoliopsida; Malpighiales; Euphorbiaceae
Description: long non-coding RNA (MESC_LNC001379)
Source: RNAcentral
UUUAUUAAUCCAAAAGAAAGGAUUAUACUUUUUGCAUGAGAAGUUAUAGUAAUUUAAUAAUUAAAAAUUCUUCACGAUUAUUUUAUAUUUCUACUAACAUGGGUCAUUAAUAUAUUUAAAUUAUUAAUAAUAAUUUAAACUCUCACGACGUCGACGAGUAUACAGUGGCAAGAAGACCUCCGACGAGCCUCCACAUUGAAAUCCCCCAAUCCACGCUCUUCUCCUCCAUCAUGCCAUCCUGCUCUGCUACCUCUUUCUCUCUCGAGUAUUAUUAGGUGCCUCCUCUUCUUUGCCCGACUCUCCGCCUACCUCGCCAAUCUCUCAGCCUGCGAAUCUCAUCUCUUAUGGCAAACUGCUACACCUCCCCUUUCAAGCAUCAUCUGUCGACGGUGGCAUGACUUGUAAUAGAGCAUCAUUGGCAUCGCACUCGUGCAUCGAGUCUCUUAGAUUUGGUCAUUCAAUUUUGUCUUUGGCAGAUUUUAGGUUGCCCAUUUUUGAUUUAUUGUGUAUAAAUAGGAAGAUUUAUUGAAUGAGGGAUUAAAAAAAAUGCUCCGAGUAUGCAUUUGGAAAAGUUGAGAUCUACCUUCAAAUAACUGAUUAAUCGAACAGGAAUAUUUUGAAUAAUCUCAAAUUUAAUAAAAAAAAUUAAUUGAAAUUAGCUGUUAUAUUUGAUAUUAGAGUUAUUUUAUGUCACAAAAUUAUGUGAAAUGGAAAAGAGUUGGAUAUGAAACGAAAUGGAGACGUCCAAGUUAUCAAUAAAACACAAUAAUAGAGAGUCUGGUCUUGAUUGAAUAAUUAAUCAACACAAAAAAUAAAUAAAUUUCAAUUUUAAACCAAUUGACAUUGGCUAUAUAAAUAUUUAUUUUACCAUAAAAAAGGUAUAAUUUAACUUGAUAAAAAGUUUAACCUAUUAAACUAAAUUAAAACUUUUAAAUUAGUUUAAAUAAAAAAUUGAAAAUUAAUUGAUAUCAUUAACUUUGAAAACUUACUAUAAAAAUUCCCCAACUUCCUUAAUCAUCAUAAACCCAUUUUUGUAAACAACAAAACUGAAUUGCAAAUUCAAUCAACUGAAAUCUAAAAUCAAGACAAUGAAAAGGAAUUGCUUCGAAAUCAUAUCAUUC